GGCUUUCAUAAAUUGUUGCGAACUGAGACGUUUUCUAGCUGAAUUGGUGCAAUUCACCUCCCUUUAAGAUAUUUAGUUUUUAAACUUUUUAAGUAUAUGAAUUCUACGUAAUUUGUGCUUCUCAAUCAGUUUAUAUGUAAAUCUGCUGUGCUAAUUGCGGUUAUAUGACCCAAUUACUGUUUCCAAUUUCAGAUAUUUAUGCAUUUAAGUCUUUUAGACAAGAUAAAAGCACUUCCUUUUAGGAGGUUGACCUUUUGAGAGUUUAUUUGUUUGACUAAACUUUGGGUGCUUCUUUCUCCUGGCGAAUUGUGAUCUCUCAAUUUUGGCAAUAAGGUUUAGUUAUAUGUAAAGUUAAAUACUGCUAUUAAACAAUCAUUGUCCUGUAUGUGUGCCAAUCAUAAUGUUGAGAUACUGAAUUCGAGUCUUGCUAAAACUGAAACAUCCCACAUAAUUACAGCUACAGGGAAGCAUCAAACUUUGUUGAAGUUGAAAAAUAUGAUAAAUAGUUGGUGAUUAACAGAUUUUUCUGCAAGGUAUGCAUGUUUGGUUUGCAAGCCUCCAUGAUGCAAACCUUUCUUAUUGUAUUCUAAAGUCACUUUUAAGAUUUAAAUGGGUAUGGUUAUGAUGCAUAAGCUACUAGAUCUAAUUCAAACAUUAGUAUCAGCUUUUGUGUGAUGACCUCAUAUUGAUGUUAAAACUGCAAAUGCUCAAACUCUCUCUAUAUAUGUGCCUAGGGAUGUUUAGUAGUUACCUUUUCUCCCUUGCUUUAACUGUGCAACCCAUAUACUGGCAUCAGGGUUUUUAUUGUUUAGUGCACUUUGCCAAGUCCUCAUCAGUUUUCAUGUUUUCAGUGAAGCUUUUAUGAUGUUUUUACCAACCCGUAUUAUGCUCAAGUCCCACAUCUACUAUUAUUUCUUAGAUACUUGCAUUCGUGACAUCUAAUGGUAUGGUAUGAGUAAUAGAAGAAACUUUGAUGUCCUUGUUUGGAUAGGGUGUAAUAUCCAAACUGUCAUUAAUUUCUUUGGUGCAUUAGUGGUCAUUCCAUUUCUUGCUCAAGUGGAAUGCCAUUUUUCAUGUGAGAGGAAG
This 1086-nucleotide unclassified non-coding RNA is filed under the name Hevea brasiliensis (rubber tree). The record is from RNAcentral. Lineage: Eukaryota; Viridiplantae; Streptophyta; Magnoliopsida; Malpighiales; Euphorbiaceae.